AGAAACUUAGGAUAACCAUCAAACCGAAG
RNAcentral lists this transfer RNA (29 nucleotides) under Alcedo atthis (common kingfisher). RNAcentral's name for it is "partial tRNA-Trp". The record is from RNAcentral. Lineage: Eukaryota; Metazoa; Chordata; Aves; Coraciiformes; Alcedinidae.